RNAcentral lists this ribosomal RNA (464 nucleotides) under uncultured bacterium. RNAcentral describes it as "bacterial SSU rRNA". It matches the Rfam family "Bacterial small subunit ribosomal RNA", at positions 28 to 479 of the family's 1533-position model. The record is from RNAcentral.
GAUGAACGCUAGCGGCAGGCUUAAUUACAUGCAAGUCGAGGGGCAGCACAGGUAGCAAUACUGGGUGGCGACCGGCAAACGGGUGCGGAACACGUACGCAACCUUCCCAAAACAGGUGAAUAGCCCUCCGAAAGGAGGAUUAAUACACCGUACCAUAAUAGAGUGGCAUCACUUUAUUAUUAUAGGCAGCGAUGUCGGUUUUGGAUGGGCGUGCGCCUGAUUAGGUAGUUGGCGGGGUAACGGCCCACCAAGCCUUCGAUCAGUAACUGGUGUGAGAGCACGACCAGUCACACGGGCACUGAGACACGGGCCCGACUCCUACGGGAGGCAGCAGUAAGGAAUAUUGGUCAAUGGACGCAAGUCUGAAACCAGCCAUGCCGCGUGAAGGAUGAACGGCCCUCUGGGUUGUAAAACUUCUUUUAUCUGGGACGAAAAACGGACUUUCUAGUUCACUUGACGGUACC